AAGCGGCAACAGCUCAAAUUUGAAAUCUGGCUUCGGCCCGAGUUGUAAUUUGUAGAGGAUGCUUUUGGUGAGGUGCCUUCUGAGUUCCCUGGAACGGGACGCCAGAGAGGGUGAGAGCCCCGUAUAGUCGGCCACCGAUCCUCUGUAAAGCUCCUUCGACGAGUCGAGUAGUUUGGGAAUGCUGCUCAAAAUGGGAGGUAUAUCUCUUCUAAAGCUAAAUAUUGGCCAGAGACCGAUAGCGCACAAGUAGAGUGAUCGAAAGAUGAAAAGCACUUUGAAAAGAGGGUUAAAUAGCACGUGAAAUUGUUGAAAGGGAAGCGCUUGUGACCAGACUUGUGCCGGGCUGAUCAUCCAGUGUUCUCACUGGUGCACUCGACCCGGCUCAGGCCAGCGUCGGUUCUCGUAGGGGGAUAAAAGCUUCGGGAACGUGGCACCUUCGGGUGUGUUAUAGCCCGUUGCUUAAUACC
RNAcentral lists this ribosomal RNA (467 nucleotides) under Coniochaeta mutabilis. RNAcentral describes it as "LSU rRNA". It matches the Rfam family "Eukaryotic large subunit ribosomal RNA", at positions 96 to 575 of the family's 3401-position model. Lineage: Eukaryota; Fungi; Ascomycota; Sordariomycetes; Coniochaetales; Coniochaetaceae. The record is from RNAcentral.